CCUACGGGUGGCUGCAGUCGAGAAUCAUUCACAAUGGGGGAAACCCUGAUGGUGCGACGCCGCGUGGGGGAAUGAAGGUCUUCGGAUUGUAAACCCCUGUCAUGUGGGAGCAAAUUAAAAAGAUAGUACCACAUGAGGAAGAGACGGCUAACUCCGUGCCAGCAGCCGCGGUAAUACGGAGGAUGCGAGCGUUGUCCGGAUUUACUGGGUGUAAAGGGUGCGCAGGCGGUCUGUUAAGUCAGCGGUGAAAGCCGGGGGCCCAACCCCGGCCCUGCGGUUGAACUUGGCAUUUUCGAGUAGGAGAGAGGUAUGCGGAAUGCGCGGUGUAGCGGUGAAAUGCAUAGAUAUCGCGCAGAACUCCGAUUGCGAAGGCAGCAUGC
Molecule: ribosomal RNA, 380 nt
Filed under: uncultured bacterium
Lineage: Bacteria
Description: partial 16S ribosomal RNA
Rfam family: Bacterial small subunit ribosomal RNA
Source: RNAcentral